RNAcentral lists this long non-coding RNA (199 nucleotides) under Brachypodium distachyon (stiff brome). Its description in RNAcentral is "long non-coding RNA (BDIS_LNC001598)". Lineage: Eukaryota; Viridiplantae; Streptophyta; Magnoliopsida; Poales; Poaceae. The record is from RNAcentral.
GAGACGUGCGCUCGGUGCUACUACUCCUCGACGUAAAUUUGUUACGUCGCAUGCAGAUUAAUAUUCAUGGUCCGUGCGGCGGGGUCGUGUGGCUGCACCCAGGGAGUCAAAUAGCGCCACUCUAUAUAUAUAUAUGUAUAUAUAUAUGUAUAUAUAUAUAUAUAUAUGUAUAUAUAUAUGUAUAUAUAUAUAUAUAUAU